GCAGAGCUGGGGAGUACAGGGGGCUCUCUGUGAUGUCCUGUGUCUGUCGAUGUGUCCCUGCCCGCCCCUGGCUGGUCCAGCAGCAUGCGAAGGGUUGCCAGGGCUGUUGGAGAGGAGGGCUGUGCCUGGGCCAGCUGGGGGUGAUGCUUUAGCAUGUGGGGUGCUGCAGCACAAGGACUUACUUGUAUCCUUGUGAUAGGCACCCACUCCAAAGAAGGAGCGAAAACUGCUGAAGGUCCCAGGUGGAGGCACCAGCAUAGCUCUGGGGCUCCACAUCCUGCAUUGGCAUCCCUCCCCACCCCAUGGGAUGCUGUCACAGGCUGUAGGGAGCCCGUAGCUGGAUACAGAUGAGGUUGCUCCAGGAGGACAGAGCACAUAGUAAAUGGUCUAAACC
Pezoporus flaviventris is the source of this 394-nucleotide long non-coding RNA. RefSeq lists it as uncharacterized. The record is from RefSeq and is a predicted model, not a curated record. Lineage: Eukaryota; Metazoa; Chordata; Aves; Psittaciformes; Psittacidae. The transcript is spliced from 2 exons.